Molecule: ribosomal RNA, 506 nt
Filed under: uncultured bacterium
Lineage: Bacteria
Description: bacterial SSU rRNA
Rfam family: Bacterial small subunit ribosomal RNA
Source: RNAcentral
GAUGAACGCUAGCUACAGGCUUAACACAUGCAAGUCGAGGGGAAACGACAUCGAAAGCUUGCUUUUGAUGGGCGUCGACCGGCGCACGGGUGAGUAACGCGUAUCCAACCUGCCCACCACUUGGGGAUAACCUUGCGAAAGUAAGACUAAUACCCGAUGAUAUCUCUAGAAGACAUCUGAAAGGGAUUAAAGAUUUAUCGGUGAUGGAUGGGGAUGCGUCUGAUUAGCUUGUUGGCGGGGUAACGGCCCACCAAGGCUACGAUCAGUAGGGGUUCUGAGAGGAAGGUCCCCCACACCGGUACUGAGACACGGACCAGACUCCUACGGGAGGCAGCAGUGAGGAAUAUUGGUCAAUGGGCGAGAGCCUGAACCAGCCAAGUCGCGUGAGGGAAGACGGUCCUACGGAUUGUAAACCUCUUUUGUCGGGGAGUAAUAGGCGGGACGUGUCCUGCUGUGAGAGUACCCGAAGAAAAAGCAUCGGCUAACUCCGUGCCAGCAGCCGCGGU